Long non-coding RNA from Xenia sp. Carnegie-2017, 190 nucleotides. RefSeq lists it as uncharacterized. Lineage: Eukaryota; Metazoa; Cnidaria; Anthozoa; Malacalcyonacea; Xeniidae. The record is from RefSeq and is a predicted model, not a curated record. The transcript has 2 exons.
CAAUUUUUCUACAAUUUGGUAAAGAUCUUUAUUUAUUGACAAGAGUUCAGCGAUAGUUAAUGCUUCAAGGUACACUCUCUUUGCAUCUGGCAAGUGUUCGGACGAAUGCCUUCCCCCGAAUGCAGAUAGCAUGCUUUUGCACAUUAAGAGAGCCAACUACCAAGCAGCCAUCUGGAAGAAUAGUUUGCAA